RNAcentral lists this ribosomal RNA (302 nucleotides) under uncultured bacterium. RNAcentral describes it as "bacterial SSU rRNA". It matches the Rfam family "Bacterial small subunit ribosomal RNA", at positions 32 to 331 of the family's 1533-position model. The record is from RNAcentral.
GAUAACGCUGGCGGCGUGCAUGAGACAUGCGAAGUCGAACGGACGAUCAGAGCUUGCUCUGUUCGUUAGUGGCGGACGGCUGAGUAACGCGUAGGUGACCUGCCCCGAAGUGGGAAUAACUGCCCGAAACGGGUGGCUAAUACCGCAUGUGGUGCCGAGUUCAAUCUCGUCACCAAAGCCGCAAGGCGCUUCGGGAGGGCCUGCGUCCGAUUAGCUCGUUGGUGGGGAACGGCGUCACCAAGGCGACGAUCGGUAGGUGGUCUGAGAGGACGAGUCACCCAGACUGGGACUGAGACACGGCC